AGGAGCUUUAAACACUCCCGAACCCUUUGUUAAACAUACCUAUACGUUGCUUCGGCCGGCGGCCCCAGGGCGGGGCUGUAGCCUUUACAGGCGCCUGCCGAAGGUAUUAAACUCGUCAUGUUUAAGUGUCUGAGUAUCUAUUAUAAAUGAAUCAAAACUUUCAACAACGGAUCUCUUGGUUCUGGCAUCGAUGAAGAACGCAGCGAAAUGCGAUAAGUAAUGUGAAUUGCAGAAUUCAGUGAAUCAUCGAAUCUUUGAACGCACAUUGCGCCCGCCAGUAUUCUGACGGGCAUGCCUGUCCGAGCGUCAUUUCAAACCUCAAGCCCUUGUGGACUUGGCUUUGGGGCUUUCUGCAAAUGGUAUUAUCCAGCAGGCCCUUAAAACCGAUGGCGGACCUGUUAGGCCUCUGAGCGCAGUAAAACUUCUCGCUUCUGGGUGCCUAGCUAGCUUGUCUUGCCUGAACAAUUAUUUCUAUAAGUUUGACCUCGGAUCAGGUAGGAAUACCCGCUGAACUUAAGCAUAUCAAUAAGCGGAGGAAAAGAAACCAACAGGGAUUGCCCUAGUAACGGCGAGUGAAGCGGCAACAGCUCAAAUUUGAAAUCUGGCCCUAGGCCCGAAUUGUAAUUUGAAGAGGAUGCUUUUGGGCAAGGUACCUUCUGAGUUCUCUGGAAUGAGACGCCAUAGAGGGKGAGAGCCCCGUAUAGUCGGUUGCCGAGCCUCUGUAAAGCUCCUUCGACGAGUCGAGUAGUUUGGGAAUGCUGCUCAAAAUGGGAGGUAAAUCUCUUCUAAAGCUAAAUACCGGCCAGAGACCGAUAGCGCACAAGUAGAGUAAUCGAAAGAUGAAAAGCACUUUGAAAAGAGGGUUAAACAGCACGUGAAAUUGUUGAAAGGGGAGCGCUUGUGACCAGACUUGGGCUUGGUGGAUCCUCUAGCGUUCUCGCUAGGGUACUCUGCCUAGUUCAGGCCAGCAUCGGUUUUCCUAGGGGGAUAAAAGCUCUGGGAACGUAUGCUCUUUCGGGAGUGUUAUAGCCCACUGCAAAAUACCCCUUGGGGGGACCGAGGACCGCU
RNAcentral lists this ribosomal RNA (1068 nucleotides) under uncultured fungus. Its description in RNAcentral is "eukaryotic LSU rRNA". The stretch from base 481 to 1068 matches the Rfam family "Eukaryotic large subunit ribosomal RNA", at positions 1 to 599 of the family's 3401-position model. The record is from RNAcentral. Lineage: Eukaryota; Fungi.